Molecule: non-coding RNA, 72 nt
Organism: Phrynosoma platyrhinos (Desert horned lizard)
Lineage: Eukaryota; Metazoa; Chordata; Lepidosauria; Squamata; Phrynosomatidae
Source: the annotation of a GenBank genome assembly
GAACCAGUGGUAUAGUGGGUUGAGCAUUGGACUACAACUCUGAAGACCAAGGUUCAAAUCCUUGCUUAGUCA